Long non-coding RNA from Amblyraja radiata (thorny skate), 998 nucleotides. RefSeq lists it as uncharacterized. Lineage: Eukaryota; Metazoa; Chordata; Chondrichthyes; Rajiformes; Rajidae. The transcript is spliced from 3 exons. The record is from RefSeq and is a predicted model, not a curated record.
UACAACGUUCCCUGUAUUUCUCUCCAUAAAACUUGCAACUUCAACAACUCUGGCAGGCAUGUUACAGAUACCUCUAACUAACAUUUUGCAAAAAGACUGCUUAUAGAAAACUCACUACUACAAAGAUGUGAGCUACAAAUAAAAAUACAAAAAUUCAAAACUAGAAUACACUUCAAUGCUCAGGUUAUCUUUCUUUGUUUCUUCAUUUUGCUUGUACUGUUAACGAGAUAUUGUAUGACUUUUGUAUAUAUGUAUUGUUUUUCAAUUAUUUAUGUACUCCCAUACCCCAAGGAGGGUUGGCUUACACAAAAUGCUGGAGUAACUCAUUGGAACAGACAUUGGGUUUUUUAAUUAAAAAAAAAAAAUUUCCUUGAUAGCCACAGUUUUUAUUGGUGUUAAUGGUAAAGCUGGGUGGGAAUCCAUGAUGUGCAAUAUGGUGCUCUUUAGUAAGGACACUCCGUCAAGGAUGUGAAGCAUUAAAUUAGUGGCUUGAAAUUAGUUAUUUGAUGAUGCUCUGUUAUUGGAAAAACACAGCCGGCAUUUUGUCCUAAUUGUUUUGUGCAGCUGGUGAGAGCCAAACGCUUCCAAAGCAUUUACAGUUAAAUUUGGGUAUCAAUGUGUUAGAAGGAAGAUAUUUUACUUGACAAAACGCACCAGUUCACACUGGUAAAUAUCUUUAAAAUUUGAUUUGCUGUUUGGUUUGUUUUUUGUUGUUGUUGUGUUUGUUCAGAAACAGAUGGGAUAGUUUGAAUAAUUUGAGUACAAACUCACUGGGAGGUCAUAGGAUGAUUGAAGAUUUGUCUCGGACCAGAAUGCAUUUGCUGAAAUCGUGGGGAAUUUUUAUAUUUGAAUAAUUCAUCUUGACAAGCUCAAUCUUAGUCUUGCCAGUCCCGGGUAAGUACAAGUCCAGAGUAAAAUGGGAACGAGCAGCAUAAUGAUAACAGCAAAAGAAGGUUUAAGGCUCAAGGAUUCAGAAAUCAGAGGUGCAAAGGGACUGG